UUGCCAGAGUCGGGUCGCCGCAGCCGCUGGAGGUGGCUGCCGGAGCCACCACCGAACCGGUUCAGAGACCACUGCUAUUUCGGUUCAGCCGCUCUUUCUUUAGUUCGAGUUGUUGAGACUGUUGCGAAAGUGGCUUGGAGCUGAGGUUUUGGUUGCCGCCAGUUCGGUUUGAGACAGAAAGGACUUGAUGAGGCAUUUGGGUUAUGGAUUUGCGUUUUGAGGAUAUGGGCGCAGAAGUUACGAAGAGCUUAUUAAUUGUUGUUGUGAUGCUCUAUAUUGUUUU
Arachis ipaensis is the source of this 283-nucleotide non-coding RNA. Lineage: Eukaryota; Viridiplantae; Streptophyta; Magnoliopsida; Fabales; Fabaceae. The record is from RefSeq and is a predicted model, not a curated record.